Molecule: ribosomal RNA, 230 nt
Filed under: uncultured bacterium
Lineage: Bacteria
Description: partial 16S ribosomal RNA
Rfam family: Bacterial small subunit ribosomal RNA
Source: RNAcentral
UGAGUAACCUGCCCUUCACUCUGGGAUAACUCCGGGAAACCAGGGCUAAUACUGGAUACGACUCGAACAGGCAUCUGUAUCGGGUGGAAAGAUUUUAUUGGGUGGAGGAUGGACUCGCGGCCUAUCAGCUUGUUGGUGAGGUAAUGGCUCACCAAGGCAACGNUGCGUAGCCGACUGAGAGGGUNAUCGGCCACAGUUGGAACUGAGACACGGUCCAGACCUCCGUAGGG